RNAcentral lists this ribosomal RNA (425 nucleotides) under bacterium. RNAcentral describes it as "partial 16S ribosomal RNA". It matches the Rfam family "Bacterial small subunit ribosomal RNA", at positions 355 to 776 of the family's 1533-position model. The record is from RNAcentral.
UGGGGAAUAUUGCACAAUGGGCGCAAGCCUGAUGCAGCGACGCCGCGUGAGGGAUGGAGGCCUUCGGGUUGUAAACCUCUUUCGCCAGUGAAGCAGGCCAUCUUCUUUGUGGGGUGGUUGACGGUAGCUGGAUAAGAAGCGCCGGCUAACUACGUGCCAGCAGCCGCGGUAAUACGUAGGGCGCGAGCGUUGUCCGGAAUUAUUGGGCGUAAAGAGCUCGUAGGCGGCUGGUCGCGUCUGUCGUGAAAUCCCCUGGCUUAACUGGGGGCUUGCCGUGGGUACGGGCCGGCUUGAGUGCGGUAGGGGAGACUGGAAUUCCUGGUGUAGCGGUGGAAUGCGCAGAUAUCAGGAGGAACACCGGUGGCGAAGGCGGGUCUCUGGGCCGUUACUGACGCUGAGGAGCGAAAGCGUGGGGAGCGAACAGG